Molecule: long non-coding RNA, 547 nt
Organism: Eublepharis macularius
Lineage: Eukaryota; Metazoa; Chordata; Lepidosauria; Squamata; Eublepharidae
Exons: 4
Source: RefSeq, a predicted model, not a curated record
UCGACCACCUCCCCUAGCGCGGAGGAGACGGGAUCAGAAAGCAACGCGGGCCUUGGGCUGCCGAGCGCUCCGCGGCUAUCACGGCGUACGGGCACGCGCUCCUUAGGCCCGUUUCCACCCUCAGCCCGUGUGCGCGAGCGACCUGCCUCCUCCUUUCCGUGACAAAUCGGGGCUAUGAAGGCUGUUUCAGUCCUAUAACCAGGCCCAAAACCAGACUGGGAAGGAUCCAAGCAAUCCAGUUCAUCUAGGAAAGCUUGAAGUUGUCCAGUCACCCCCGUUCAAUCAUCUUGGUCAAGAAUGGAACAAUUGAGCCUGGUUGAUAUUUACUGAGAUCUCCUGGGUCCAGGUUCCUUGCCAUCAAGUAGAUCCUAUUCUGGCAAAUCUGCUUUGAGCCUCCAUGAAUGGCUCCAACAGAUGAUGCAAGAAUCCUGCCUAUUUCUAUUAUCAAGUUUCAAGUGAGGUCUCAUCUUUGUUGCAAUAUGAUCAUAUUGCAUCCAGCCCAAAAGACAGAACUAUGGCAAACUGAAGUAAAUUUGCUAAUGUGUGA